UUCAGAAAGUAAAGAAUUAUCAGAAAGUAUAGACAUUCCAAAAAGUAAAGACAAUAACAAAAUGUACCCUUCUUUUAUUUAUACGAAUAUAUUUAAGAUACCCGUUUUAUCAACAAUCCAUAUGAAUAUUCUUAAAAAAUAUGUACAAUUAAAUAAAAACACAAAAAAUAUAUUUUAUGAUUUAACACAAGGGAGUUUUUAUAACAUCUCUGGAAUGGUUAUCCAUUACACGGAAUUCGAAAUAAAAGGGAUGUCGGAUAACAAUUCUAGUGAAAGUAAUAAAAGCAGAUUAAGUUAUAAAAUUUUUUUAUUAACCUCUAAUUUGCAUUUGUGUUGUAUAAACGUUUCUAUGACAACUUCUGAUUUUUGGCUUUCAAAUUAUAAGAAAAAUUUUGAACGUAAGGAAAAGGAAAUACUUAAGAGAAUGAUUUAUGUACGAAAGAACAAAAACACAAAUAAAGGUCAAAAUUACGAAGUUAAAAAAAAUUGUAAAUAUAAAAAUAACAAUAUGAACAGGACUAAUGAUUAUAAUAACAACAAUACCGUAUUUAAUUAUUUAUAUAAAAGUGAGAUAAAAAAUAAUAAUGAGCGGGACAUUGAUGAGAAAGAAGAGCUACUAAAAAAUAUAGAUAUUUUUAUAUUUUUUAAAAACGCACUGUUUAUAAAUUAUGAUAAAAAACAUGGCAUAUUUAAUUUCCAGUCGUACUACCACCCUGUAAUUUAAAAUAUACAAAUGCAUACGUGUGUGUAUAAAAACAUAUACAUAUAUACAUAUAUACAACCAAUUUUUUUUUAUGCAAAAAUGGCGUAGAAAAGGUGUAAAAAACGAUAGUGCAAACAUUUAUCACUACUACUAUAACUACAUAUAUAUAUUUUUUUUAAUUUUUUCUUUUCAGGAAUUUCGUACUUUAAAACAGUAUUCAAAUGAAUUUUUUCACAUUAAAAACGACAUGGCACAAUUAAUGAGAGAAGAAUAUCUUAUGCUAAAAAAUAAUAAACUUGUAGUAAAAUUAAAAGACA
This 1020-nucleotide long non-coding RNA is filed under the name Piliocolobus tephrosceles (Ugandan red Colobus). Its description in RNAcentral is "lncRNA (ENSPTEG00000006223.1)". Lineage: Eukaryota; Metazoa; Chordata; Mammalia; Primates; Cercopithecidae. The record is from RNAcentral.